Molecule: non-coding RNA, 1476 nt
Organism: Microcebus murinus (gray mouse lemur)
Lineage: Eukaryota; Metazoa; Chordata; Mammalia; Primates; Cheirogaleidae
Source: RefSeq, a predicted model, not a curated record
GGGCUGCUCUGAGGGGUGCUGGGCCCUGGGCAGUGGCCGAGGCCCGGGAGGAUGGAGGGUAGAAUGAGGCUUUUCUGUUUGUUUUCAAGAAAUAAGGUAUUACAACAUUUGCACACGGGUGUGUGUUAUCUAAAUGUGUUAUAUGGUUUUUGAUCCUUGGAAAAACAGGUAUUUGGGGAUUCUCUCUGUAGCUUGGUUUCCAAGAUUAAAAAUAACUUUUCUUACUUUUCUAAGUAAUCAGCACCAUAUUGUAUUUUACUGACUAUACUUUGUUUUCCCUACAUGUAAGCAUUUUCAUCCAAGGAAGAGCCACAGAUAGUUUUGUAUGAACCAUAUAAUGCUGGAGUUGGGGCUUUUAGUGUGCUGGUCACCAGUAUAGUGUUCAUUGUACCUGACAGUUUCUCUGUAGAAGGAAAGAUGAUAAAAAAUAUCUCUCUACCUCCUGAGAAUGGCCUUGGCACACACUAAUAUUUGUAUAAUGCUUCAAAGAAGUAAAGGGCUGACUUAAUUGGUGAGGAAGAUUGGAUUUUGAGAUAUUUGACAAACUUUGACAUAUACGAAGGUAAUUUCUCUCCACUUCCACAAUGACUCCACCUCUAAGAAUACUACAGUGGCUGACUCAUUAGCAGAGAAAAGACUACGGUGGAGUUCACGAUCUGACAGCUUCACAUCUUUUAAAUAGGCUGGGAGAAUUUUAAAACACAAACUUUCUAAUGAAUUGAGUUGACACUCCGACUCUGUCAUCUACUAGCAGAAGUUUCAUUGUUUUUUAAAAAUCUAUUGGUUUGCAGGGCAGAUUAUAUUCUUGGAAGGCUUGCUGGUCCUAUGCACACGCAAGCCACUUUCACAACAGCAGAGAAGGUGAGGAGCUAUCUAAAGCAGCAAAGUCAGUUGGAGGCAGCUGUUGACAGCUGCUCACAUUCCCCAAGGCAGGUUUUAUCUGUGGAUAUAUAUGCUGCUGCAUAAAUAGACAUUGAUGAUCUUUGCAUGUGAUCACGCAAAACUACAUGCCACCAUAUUGUGUCAGAAAGAAUAGAGAGAAAGGAAUGAAUUAGGUAAGUCAGAGGGUCCUAUGAGAUCUUUUGGGGUUUGUGUUGCCCUCUGAGAUAGUUGAGGCACUUUUGGAUUCUCUUUUGACCUAGAGGUUACUGAGUUUAUGGCAGAGGUCGCUGGAGGUCAAAAGGAUAAACAGAGUUUCAGUAUGUCUUGACCCCACAAACAAAUUUCAGCUUUCUAUUUGAUCCAUGCAUUUGACAGAUUGUGUCAUAGUUGGUAGUACAUUCUCUGAACUAGAUUAGAGCAAGCUAAACUGUCUUACUGCUAAGGGCUUGCACCUUGAGAGCUCCUUUAAGUAGGACAGUUGGCUGGUUGAAUGGUGCCUGGCUUUGCUAAGCUGUGUUCACUCACUCCUGCCUUAGUAACAAGCCAGAGAGGAAAGCCCCCACCCUUCCCUUAACGCCUAAUUAUGUGCCUUCC